RNAcentral lists this long non-coding RNA (296 nucleotides) under Numida meleagris (helmeted guineafowl). RNAcentral's name for it is "lncRNA (ENSNMEG00000015517.1)". Lineage: Eukaryota; Metazoa; Chordata; Aves; Galliformes; Numididae. The record is from RNAcentral.
AGCGUGGACAGGAGGCCUCCAAGGACAGUGCUGAAGCCAUUUCAGGCAGCAGCCUCUAAUGAUGGCACUGAUGGCACGUUGACUAAAACACCUCUAUUUGCUGCAGCUUCCCAGAGAGGUUUGGUUGGAAGAACAGCUUUGCCAUAGCAAUCACACCAGGAGGGUUCCUCACCUUAUCAGCUGAACGAGUUCCCUGAAAAUCAGACCAAAGAUCAUGCAAGAGGAGUUUUUUAUUGUUGCUGUAGUAAGUUUUUAAAGUAUUUUAUAUAGUCUAUGGGCCCACACAAAGAAAUAUU